Rosa chinensis is the source of this 319-nucleotide long non-coding RNA. RefSeq lists it as uncharacterized. Lineage: Eukaryota; Viridiplantae; Streptophyta; Magnoliopsida; Rosales; Rosaceae. The record is from RefSeq and is a predicted model, not a curated record. The transcript has 2 exons.
AAAUUGUUCUCAUGUCAUAAAUACAAAUUCUUGGUUUGGCAGUGGUCAUGUUUGGCCACACAGGGCAAUACCAAAAGUACUAAUUUUUGCAUCCUGUCAUCAAGUGCUAUUUUCCAAGUGCAGCAGCAGCACUGUGUCUCAACGAAGGUGUAUUCAUUUGAGAGGUAACUUCUAUCCUUGAAGAACAAGUGAACAACCAAGUGGUAAGCCACGAAGCUGCUUGAGUAGGUCUUACACUUUUGUUUUCUUUUGUUGUGCAUUUUCAGGUUUGUGGUCAAAUGGUUUGGAGGGUGAUCAAGUAUUUUCUGAGUUUAUGGUU